This 425-nucleotide ribosomal RNA is filed under the name uncultured bacterium. Its description in RNAcentral is "partial 16S ribosomal RNA". It matches the Rfam family "Bacterial small subunit ribosomal RNA", at positions 354 to 796 of the family's 1533-position model. The record is from RNAcentral.
GUGGGGAAUCUUGCGCAAUGGGCGAAAGCCUGACGCAGCCAUGCCGCGUGAAUGAUGAAGGUCUUAGGAUUGUAAAAUUCUUUCACCGGGGACGAUAAUGACGGUACCCGGAGAAGAAGCUCCGGCUAACUUCGUGCCAGCAGCCGCGGUAAUACGAAGGGGGCUAGCGUUGCUCGGAAUUACUGGGCGUAAAGGGCGCGUAGGCGGACAGCUUAGUCAGAGGUGAAAGCCCAGGGGUCAACCUUGGAAUUGCCUUUGAUACUGGCUGUCUUGAGUUUGGGAGAGGUGAGUGGAACUCCGAGUGUAGAGGUGAAAUUCGUAGAUAUUCGGAAGAACACCAGUGGCGAAGGCGACUCACUGGCCCAAUACUGACGCUGAGGCGCGAAAGCGUGGGGAGCAAACAGGAUUAGAUACCCUGGUAGUCC